UGAAAACCUGCACCAACCGGCUGCACACUCAACCAGCUAGGACUCUGCAAAAAAAAAAAAAGUCAGCUCCUUUAGCCACAGUCACAGAGCAGUGAGGUCAUAUGGUAAAGAGGCGGAAGCUGAUUGGUCCUCCAGUAGAGAUGCCACGGUCUUCUCCUUACUUAAGAGUUAGUGCCAGCCCUCGUCCUCUGUGCAUAGCCGUUCCGCAGCUCACACAGACACAGGGACACGCCAGAAGACGACCACCGCUUAGAACCAGAACUGGAGCAACCCGUCUGCCUUCCAGAGAGAGACACACCAAAAGCAGGCUAAGAGCUGGAGUUUUUGCCAAAAACAAGCACCAAGACCCAGAGAGACAUGAGAGCAGCUGCUCACUAACAGCUAGCGUUACGUUUGUUUACAGCAGAGAGCAGAAGGGAGGACAGACAUCUCACUCUGCUACUUUUUGCUGCAACCCUACUGCAGUGGACUCAUGGAGCAGUAGUGUCCGUUGUCCAACUAAGUAUUGAAAACACGCUUAGUAUUUUACAAAUUAUAAUUUUUUUUAUUUGAUGAACAUGGGCGCGGAUACGUGAAAAUUAACUAAAUGGGUUUUAUUUCUAUAAAAAAGCAAAAACGAGAGUAUGGGUGGUGGGCAAGUAAUCGAUGUUAUUUCCCAACACCGUGUAACAUCGGUAACAUUGACUAUUGCGGCAAGCCUACCCUCCAGUCCACCUUCCAAGCACUGAUUGGUGCUUGGAAGAUGGAACCUUAUAGCACUAAGUUUGAGAUUGAUUUUUGAGAUAAAACCUUUUCUUUUCUCAAAUUUAGGGCCAAUAAUACAGAAAACAAAAAAUAAACUGAUACAAAAUGGUGAUAACAUGUCAAAGAAUAGUUUCAUAUGAAUAACCCAUUUUUCACAAAAACGUCAGAUAGAAUCUUAUAAUUCAUGCUGUUUCCUUUUUUGUCCUCGCAGAGUUAACCCACUCCCUAGUGAGAGAAAACAAACGAUUUUCUAUUAGUUCUCAAGAUUCAAACGGUGAGUGUGACUCACCAUUGGCUUACACAACACAAACCUUAGUUCUCUAAGCUCUCUUCUCUCCUUCUGUCACUCCUCUAUAUCUUUCUCCAUUUUCUUCACCAUCAUGCAAAGUCUCAAGGGUAGACUGAAUGUCCUCUUCCAUUUGGCUGCUAUUUUGGUCUCCAUGUCAACAAGAUAUGAGUCACCACACCCUCCAAAAACGUGGACACAAUCACUAAAACAUGUUACUAUUAAUAAAGCAAUCGACCCAUUCAGUUACUGCUAACACACUACUGUGCGUCAGUCAUCCUCAAGUUGAAUAGCUGGGAUAAUGAUGUGAGGAUGAAUAAAAGUACAUGAACAUGAAAACAAAGCAUCGCACUGUAAGCAUUUUCUUGUAAAGGAACCGUUUAAAGAUUCUGACUCCUCUGAGCCUAUUUUUAUAUGCUGCUGUUAAAGCACUUUCAGCAAACAAAAUAUAGAGACUCAAUCUGUGUGUGUGUGUGUGUGUGUGUGUGUGUGUGUGAUUGUGUGAGACUUCCUGGCAGCAUAAAUAUAUAGAUUACGUCUACAUUACGUGUACAGUAUUUGCCUGGAAAAGAUUCAUGUUUUCUAAAAUAGUGACAUACAUGGUAUUUCUAUCUAUCUAUCUUGAAAUUAGUCUGACAGGCAAGAGGCAAGAGGCAGUCCAGCCAAAUUUAAUUUGCUAUAAUCAAGAUAAUUAAACAUUGUUUGACUAAUCUAAUUUGAUAUUAUUCAUCUACUAAUAACUAGCUUGUCAAUUUAUGAUAACAUUUCU
This is a long non-coding RNA of Thunnus maccoyii (southern bluefin tuna), 1799 nucleotides long. RefSeq lists it as uncharacterized. Lineage: Eukaryota; Metazoa; Chordata; Actinopteri; Scombriformes; Scombridae. The record is from RefSeq and is a predicted model, not a curated record. The transcript has 3 exons.